GAUGAAGAACGUAGCGAAAUGCGAUAAGUAAUGUGAAUUGCAGAAUUCAGUGAAUCAUCGAAUCUUUGAACGCACCUUGCGCUCCUUGGUAUUCCGAGGAGCAUGCCUGUUUGAGUGUCAUUAAUAUAUCAACCUCUUCAGCUUAUGCUUGUUGAGUGUUGGAUGGUGGGGGUUUGCUGGUGUCUUAUGAAGUCAGCUCCUCUGAAAUGCAUUAGCGGAACAAUUUGUUGACCGUUCAUUGGUGUGAUAAAAAUAUCUACGCUAUUGACGUCAGUCAGUUCAGCUUCUAACAGUCCAUUGACUUGGACAAAUUUUUCAUUAAUGUGACCUCAAAUCAGGUAGGACUACCCGCUGAACUUAAGCAUAUCAAUAAGCGGAGA
This 380-nucleotide unclassified non-coding RNA is filed under the name soil metagenome. RNAcentral describes it as "partial contains 5.8S ribosomal RNA, internal transcribed spacer 2, and large subunit ribosomal RNA". The stretch from base 1 to 120 matches the Rfam family "5.8S ribosomal RNA", at positions 35 to 154 of the family's 154-position model. The record is from RNAcentral.